This 72-nucleotide transfer RNA is filed under the name Mus musculus (house mouse). RNAcentral describes it as "tRNA-Cys (GCA) (tRNA-Cys-GCA-17-1)". It matches the Rfam family "tRNA". From Rfam's summary of the family: Transfer RNA (tRNA) molecules are approximately 80 nucleotides in length. Their secondary structure includes four short double-helical elements and three loops (D, anti-codon, and T loops). Lineage: Eukaryota; Metazoa; Chordata; Mammalia; Rodentia; Muridae. RNAcentral also lists the same sequence under 1 other name. The record is from Rfam by way of RNAcentral.
UGGGGUAUAGCUCAGGGGUAGAGCAUUUGACUGCAGAUCAAGAGGUCCCUGGUUCAAAUCCAGGUGCCCCCU